Molecule: unclassified non-coding RNA, 194 nt
Organism: Mesocricetus auratus (golden hamster)
Lineage: Eukaryota; Metazoa; Chordata; Mammalia; Rodentia; Cricetidae
Source: Ensembl
AUUUUCUGCAGAGCCGCGGCGGGGUCCCCUUCCUCGCGCGCUGGGUUCUCCCUCAAGCGGAGUCAGGCUGAGCGCUGGGUGCAUUUCCCUGAGGAUACGAGGGACAGAUAGGAGAGGCGUCGAGGAGGACCGGUUGGGGACUAAUAAAGUUUAGAAGAUGGUGUGGGACGGUUUUCUGACCGUCUUGGCGGUCC